This 265-nucleotide unclassified non-coding RNA is filed under the name uncultured fungus. RNAcentral describes it as "partial contains 5.8S ribosomal RNA, internal transcribed spacer 2, and large subunit ribosomal RNA". Lineage: Eukaryota; Fungi. The record is from RNAcentral.
AAUGCAAAUUGCACUCUCUGGUAUUCCGGAGAGUAUGCCUGUUUGAGGGUCAGUGUAAUAAAAAAAUCGAUGUUGUUGCAUCGGAAUUGAGUCGUCUUACUUCAGUUAAGUGACUUAAAAUUUUUCAUACGAUUCGAACGUAUUUUAAUGUAUUAUAUGUACGUUUACGAAUAUCGGUUUAUUAGGUGCGAUCAUUCUCAUGAUUUGCGUCUAUAAUUUUCUUUUUUUUGACCUCAAAUCAGGUAAGAGUACCCGCUGAACUUAA